Long non-coding RNA from Puntigrus tetrazona (Sumatra barb), 4254 nucleotides. RefSeq lists it as uncharacterized. Lineage: Eukaryota; Metazoa; Chordata; Actinopteri; Cypriniformes; Cyprinidae. The transcript is spliced from 3 exons. The record is from RefSeq and is a predicted model, not a curated record.
CUCCGCCGCAGCAGUGCAGCGGGGCCAGGCUUACCGAACAUCUCAGAGCCUGGCCCGCCGUGCUCAGCCGACGUGUACGAUGGAGGUGACUUUUAGCUCCAGUUCCACUCGGUUCGAAACCAGCACGAGAUCACCGGAGACGUGCCCUUCAUAUGUCAUAUCAAGAAGAGAAAGGAACAGUCUUGAAAGGAACUCAUGACCAGAUGAGACCAUCAUGUCUUUGUUCUUCAAACUGCUCUCCAUCCCGUUAAGUUGUCUUUCCUCCAGCAUUAUUUCAGGGAAAUGUUUGUUCAGCAUACCAACCGUUAGUGGUCUAUGAACAUAUCAUCUCUGCACUUUGGAGACGACGACUGAAGUUGUUUUUAUCCAUGAAAGAACCAUAAGCUCUUCAUGUGUCCAAAAAAAAGUAACACAAUUGUGCCACAUUACAGAGCCAUCUUCUGGUCAUAUCUCUUUAUAAACCAAUUUCAAUAUAGUAUUUAUAAAGUUGCAGGUUGUGUUAGAAGUGAAAAUGGAAAUAGUGGAAGCGCACUUGCUUUGCAGGUAAAACAAAUGCACAUUUCAAAACUAAAUCAUGCAAGCAAGAUGAAGUAGCUUCAUCCAACUGUUUUAUUAUCUGCAGAUUAAGUGCCUAGACACGUCUCUUUUAAAAGCUCCAUGGCUUAGCUUUAAACCUACCAGUAAAGCACUAUUUUGGUCUUAUUUAAAAAUGGCUGAGAAUUUAAUUUCUGAGACAACAAACUGUAGACAGAUAGCUGUUCUCUUAAUUCAGAACUCAUAUUGGUGCUUUUGCAAAACCAUGAACCAUGCUUUCAUGUUUUCUAUGUACUUGUACUGACAAACCAAGACAGACAGUGGCACACUGACCUGAGCAUAAGCUUUAUAAAUUCCACAGUUAAACCUUUCUAGUGGGAGUGGGACAUAAUGAAAUAUAAUUAUUUUACUACCUCAGAAGUUACCACAGCUCAGACCCACACAGCGAGCACUCCGAUCAAACUAUAUUCACAUGCUUUUCUCAUAGUAAUGUAAAUAGAGUCAUUGUCUGUCAAAUGGUUUGGAAAUCAGUUGGAAGAGGAUUUUUUUUCAUGUACGUUAUUUUAUUAAUAGGUUUUCACAAAAAUCAUAUACAGACCUUGUAGUUCACGGACACUGGCAGACAAAAAUUUGGAAUAAUUAUUUUUUUAAAACUAUUUUUGAAAAUCUCCUAACCAAGGCUGCAUUGACUUUAUUAAAAUUACAGUGCAGCAAUACUGGGAAAUAUUAUUACAAUUUAAAAUAAAUGUUUUCUAUUUAUAAUGUGUGUAAUUUAAUCCUGUGAUAGCAAAACUGAAUUUUUUUAGCAGUUACUUGAAUCACAAGAUCCUUUAUUAUUGUUGAAAUCAGUUUUUGCUGUUUAAGCUUUGAGAAUAUGAAAUAUUUUUACAGAAUUUCUUGAGCAAAAGAAAGAUAACUAAACAGCAUUUAUUUGAAAUAGAUUUUUUUUGUUACAUUAUUGUCUUCACUAUUACUUUCAAUCAAUUAUAUUACAUUCUUGCUGAAUAAAAGCAUUUAUUUAAAAAAAUAACUUUGGAAAUAUGUCACAGUUUCCAUAUAAGAAACAUAAAUUAUGAUAUGUUGAUUAAAAAUAGAAAAUGGUUUUGUAGGAUAAUGGAUAAAGGAUAAUGUCUGCUGAAAAUUUAGCUUUGCCAUCACAGAAAUAAAUUACAUUUUGAAAUUGAAAAUAAGCAUAAGACAUCUAAAAAUAAUCUGAAUUAUUCCAAAGGUUUGGCUACCAGUAUCUAUUUUUCCUACAUGUUUUCCAAGAGAAUAUUCAUAGUGAAAUAAUAGUGUCAUUUUCAUAGUAUCCUCAUUAGGCCUGAAGAAAGGCAGUAGCAUGGUUAAAUGUUAGACCACAACAUUUUUAAAUAGUUAAUAGUUUAGUAUGUUUUAAUGCAUCAUCUCAGAUAGAUUAUAGGAAGUUGGUCACAGCCUGUGCUUGGUCCUCAGCAACAGUGCACUGUGAACAUAGGAGUUUAACUUCAUCUGUGUGAAAAUGUACACAGUUUUUGUUUCGUUUAUACGGUAGUUUCUGUCACAUAGAUUGGUAGAAAUCUAGUGUCAUGUACCGAGUAUAAAUUUCCAUGGGAGAAAGAGUAGUAAGGCCUCAGUGUGGGAAAUGUGCAAUAUUUGUUUCUUUCCUUUGUCUUGUUUUGAGAUGACUAUGUAUAUUGUACAAACAAGUGACAAGUUGUUCGCAAAAACAACAAAAUCACCAAUGUCUUCCAUUAAAUGAUGUAUAGUUUCAUCCGCUUGCUUUAGGGUGGCGGGAUUUGUAGUGCCAGCAUAAACAUGGCCAUGCAUGUAUGGUAGCGAUGCUUGCUGAGUUUAAUAGUCGUAGUGACAUUCAGUAUAUGCUAUAAUAAAGUCGUUUAGAAAAUAAAAUAGGCAGAUAACGAUUUAGUUAGUAACCACCAUGGAGCAGCAUCCACAUCUUGAUCGGUUUGAUUAAAAGGCGACUAGGCGAGUCAUUUUCACUCAUGCAGAGUUUGUUCGUUUUAGGUUUUAAUCGGCAAUCACGGUUGUUUAUUCACAGGUAAUCACUAUUAGUUAAUGUGUUGUAGCAUGCUGAGGAUUAGAAAAAUGGCGGUUGGUAUUGACAUGCAGCUAGCCAUGCUGAAAUACAUAUAUAUGUUUCAUAAGCACUGUGUGAGUUUGUCCUAGUUUGUACUGUGCAAAAUUAAGUUCUGGGCCCAAAAUAGUUGACUCGGAUCAAAAUGACAGUUCCCUAACGGGCAGAAAAUGUAGCUCGUUGGCUUAGAAGUGAAGAGUUUAAUUUUGUACCUGUUUCAGAAUUGAUUGGAAACAGUUGAUCCUGAUGCUAUUUGGUCUGUAACAAUCGGACACAAAAAAGACUUGUAGACACAAAGUAUUCUCGUCCUGAUUCGAAAGGGUAACCUAGAACUGUGUUUGUAUUCAUACCUCUAAUAUUGCAUUCUCCAUCAGGUAUUGUUGUCUCAGACUAGAGCUGUGGGUAGAUUAUUCCUAGUAGCAGAAAACUUUAGAUUUUAAAGUAACAUGUAUUAUAUUAAGUGGCAUAAAGCAAUUAUCAAAGCAUUGUAAUGUGGAUAAAUACCUCAAUGACUGGAAUGCAAACUAUAUUUUUAAAUAUACUCAAAGAUAUGCAAGCCAUGAUGUGUAUUAAGUUCAACGUUUAGAAGCAAUAAUCAGUUUAUGCAUGAAUUAUAGUGUCGGAGUAUUCAGUGGUUUUUGUGAAAUAGAUUCUGUAGCAUAUUUGUGACCAGUGGUUAGUGUUUUAUCCAGAACGUCCCAUUGCUCAUAUCUGGUAGUACAGAACUAGCUGUUAACACCCCCAUUAUUCGUUGACACCAAAUAAAUAGUGAAGGUAGCAACAGGGGUCUGACAAAUAUGAAAGACCCUUUUUUAUUUUGGACAGGUGGAAGAAAGUUCAUAACUAGUAAAAAUAUAUAUGCAGGGCUUAUGCCUUUCUAUUGACCUUGCAUGUUUACAUACAAACCAUUGUGGAACGCACAUAAGCUGUAUGUGUAUAUAUACAGAUUAUUUUCAUUAACAGCAAUAUGAGCAGUGUUCUGGUAGCAGUUUGUGACACUCUUAAUGAUUCAUUGUCUAAAUCCUGGGUAAACAAUAUACCACAAUACAUUCACGAAAUAAAAAAAAAGAUCCAUUGGGAAUUUACUAGUAUUUUUUUUAAUAAGAGUGCAAAAAACAUCUGUUAAUGCAUGGUAGAUAAAAGUGGAUACAAAAUGUUUUGUGCUGCAUGCAAUAACUAAGCUUUGCUUGAACAUAUUUAUGCAGAAAUGUGAUAAAUCUAUGAGUGGACCAAUGUCGUGACUUUCUUUUCAAAUGCAUGAAAUCCCAAAGGUUUAUCGCUGCUGUAAAUUAUUCAAAGACGUAUUCAUUAAAAAUGUUACUUUUUUGAAAUUGAGUAUUGUAUGAUGAAAAUGUAACAAGUCUGUGAUGCAAGAGGCAAGAUACAGUAUGUUUUAGCAAAACAUACGAUUGGGGAGUUUAAAAUAAAAAGAGUUAUUAAAAAAAAAGUUCUUUUUCCAUGUUCAAAGCAAAUAGUGAAGAACAUUUAUAUGCUUUGAUGACCUGAUUUGUGUUGCUGAUUUUGCCUCUGAAUGUGAAACUCUAUGCUUAGUCUGAUCUAUGCACUACAGAUGCGCCCCGCAUGAUUUUGUACAAAACAAAAUUAAAUUUUAGCAAUAAAAAAGCAGCAUGGUGCCAUACACAAAA